CCCUUAGAUGUUCUGGGCCGCACACGCGCUACACUGAAGGAGGCAGCGUGUACUCCUGGAUCGAAAGAUUUGGGUAACCCGCGAAUCUCCUUCGUGCUAGGGAUUGAGGUUUGCAAUUAUCCUUCAUGAACGAGGAAUUCCCAGUAAGUGCAAGUCAUAAGCUUGCGCUGACUACGUCCCUGCCCUUUGUACACACCGCCCGUCGCUACUACCGAUUGAAUGAUUUAGUGAGGACUUCGGACUGGGACCGAUGCGGCUUUCGGGCUGCGUCGGUGUUCUGGAAAGAUGUCCAAACUGUAUCAUUUAGAGGAAGUAAAANUCGUANCA
Molecule: ribosomal RNA, 327 nt
Filed under: uncultured eukaryote
Lineage: Eukaryota
Description: partial 18S ribosomal RNA
Rfam family: Eukaryotic small subunit ribosomal RNA
Source: RNAcentral